Molecule: long non-coding RNA, 8094 nt
Organism: Alligator mississippiensis (American alligator)
Lineage: Eukaryota; Metazoa; Chordata; Crocodylia; Alligatoridae
Exons: 2
Source: RefSeq, a predicted model, not a curated record
CUCCAGCCAGGGAGCAGAGGAGAGGAGCCAGCUCUGCUGUGGAACAGAGAGCCCUGUCCAGCCCAGAGAUCAUGCUGGGAUGCUGAGGGAGUCUGGUUUAACUUAAACUAGCAAAGGGUCUGGGACAGACGUUGCAUAAACUGGUUUGACCCGAAUCAGUUAUGUCUCAUACCACAUUCAACCAGGUUUAUCUCAAACUGGCUUCAGUCAUUUUCAAACUGGUUUAUGUGCACUGAACAUCUGUUCUGCUAGAGGUUUAAACCAGUUUCUGAUCACUUAAACUGGUUUAUGUGUAAUGUCUGUCCUUAGCCUGAAAGGAUCCCAAGACAUAUCAGUCAGCCCCAGUUAGACAUGAGUGACAUAUGCCUCCUACACAAGGUGCAAACGGCACAGAUUGAAGAGACAACCACGGUACAAGGCAGCUUUCAAAAGCACGAAUACAUAAAGCUUAAGCAUAAUCACUGCUGUAACUGUCAUGUGGCUUAAUCACCUAGUCACCAGUCAGCACUGUGUCCUGGCUUUCCAAAAUAGUUAAGACUGCUGUGCAUUUUAGGACAAUGUUUUCCACAAUGAAAACUCACCCUGCGGACACACGGAUGGAUGCUCAGCACUUUCUGUGAUGCUCCUGAGAGGCCUCCUGAACACUGCAGAGAUGGGGUGGUGGGAUGCAGAGGUCUGACCGACCCGAAUUCGUACCAGGAAUAUCUUUGCGCCAUGUGACCUUGUGUUCCAUGCUGAAGGGCCAGGUCCAAAGCCCAUCUGAGUUAAUGGAGUGAUUCCCACUAGCCUGAAUGGGCCCUGGAUCUGACCUCAGGUACUGAAAAUACCACCUUAUGAAACUUUAAUUGUGUUGUCUUGGAUGAGGGCUCUUGCCUCCUCUCUCACCCCACAUGGGCACCCAGGGAUGCUUUCCCUGUCACCCUCUAAAUUAUUCCACUGCCCAUAUGUCCAGGGUUGAAUGGGGUCUCAAAAGGACUGGAGUAACCCUGUAGAAGCCCCAUGGAGAAAUGUGUGUGAACUGUGAACUGUUUUCAAAUCUAUUCGGGCAGAGCAGCUUGGUGGGGGCCAGUCAUUGCAAUGGGCAGCAUUUCCACUUGGUGGCACUCUUUGCUCCCAACAAAGCCGGAGGAGUCUGUAGAGGUAUAAAAUGCAGCUUAGCUUAUAAAUGACAAGUUGUGAAAGGAAAUCAUAAGUUUCAGAUCUCCUGCAGAGUAUUUCUAUUUGACUUGAGAUCUCUUUUUUACUUGAUAUUAUGAUGAGGGUGAUAACCCGCUGCUAAUUGGGCAGGAUAAGGCCCUGACCCGGAUUGCAUGACCCUGGGAAAACAUUUGUUCCAGAUUUCCAGCAUCCGCAGGGAACGGCAGGAAAUGGCAUUUUUCCCUUUGUAGGCUGGGAGCCUUCCUGCUUGUAAGGGGCUGCUGAGAACCGGACACAGGGAAUGCAUGUAGCUGGGAACACAGCCAGGCAGCCUGGAGAGCAGCUCCCUGUAGGGCCUGGGGCUCUUUUCAUGUUGGCUCUGACCUUGCUGGAACCUGAGUGGUGGGCACAUGACCUGUGGGAGGAGGGAGUUUGCUCAGUAUGAUGCUGAGUGAGGAUCAGGUGCUGUGGUGUUGGGCUCUAGGGCUGGUCAGGGUGGGCCCUGCUGCACCCCCUGCCUGGGGUGACCGUUAUCAGGGUCCAAGUGGCUCUCUGCCUUGGGCUAUUACAUUUGGGGGCCAGCUCAGUCUGACACACUGCCCUAGGGACAACAGUUGCAGACCUGAGCAACUGCACAUCUGGAAACUUGUAACACACAAGGAAACAACACAUUGUGUUUAAUACUACCCACUCAGCAGCUCAUUUGAAUCAGCAGACAAACCAGAGCAGCAUUGCUCUUUGCAGUUACACCGCAGGGAAAUUCUUGUUCUGACUCCUUUUCUCAAAGAACCACAACUGACUGCGAGACAGGUGGGUAUAAACUGGCUGAGGGUACGACCCAGAGAGUCCUAAUGAACGAAUCUGUGUCAUUUUGGCGAGAAGUGGCCAGUGGUGUCCCAUGGGGGUUGGUGCUUGGUCCAGUACUUUUCACCAUUUUUAUCAAGCAUUCAGAUGUGGGGGUGAAGAGCUCACUGGCCAAAUACGCGGAUGACAUCAAUUUAUGGGGAAGCGUGGUCACAUUUGCAGAUAGGCUACAGUUACAGGUGGACCUAGACAGGCUGGCAAGUUGGGAUGAAGCUUAACAUUGGGAAGUGUAAAGUGCUCCACCUGGGGAUGAACAACCCUGUACACACCUACAAAUGUGGCGGUGCCAAACUGACCAGCACCAUGAACAAAAGGGACUUGGGAGUAACAAUAGAUCACAGUAUGAAUCUGAGCCAGCAGUGCGACGCUGUAGUCAGCAGGGCAAAUAGUCUGGCAUGCAUCAAUCGGUGCAUCUCUAGCAAAACGAAGGAAGUGAUUCUUCUGCUCUACUUGGGAUUGGUGAGACCGCAGAUGUAGUACUGCGUCCAGUUCGGGGCACUGCACUUUAACAAACAUAUGGUACAGCUUGAGAGAGUCCAGAGAAGGGCCACCCAUAUGAUCAGAGACUUGCAAGGCAAAGCAUAUGAGGAAAGGCUGAGGGACCUGAGUUUCUUCAGGCUGAGGAAAAGAAGGCUGAGAGGGGACUUGGUAGCAGCUCACCACUACAUCAGGGGAAUACAUCAAGGGCUUGGUGAGCAACUGUUCACCAGGACACCCUUGGGGAAAACCAGGAGCAAUGGCCACUAACUUGUGGGAGACCAUUUCAGGUUCAACAUUAGGAAAAACAUCUUCACAAUUACAGUGUCCAGACUGUGGAAUAAGCUCUCUCCAGAGGUGGUGCAAUCGCCUACCCUGGAAAUCUUCAAGAGGAGACUGGAGGGUCACAUUGCUGGGGUCACCUGACCCUGGUUGUCUUUCCUGCCUAGUGCGGCGGGGCUGGACCUGAUGAUCUUGCGAGGUCCCUUCCAGCCCCUUGCAAAGUAUCAAUCUAUGACUUUGUAACAUUUGCUGCAGUGAGGCUGGAGUGUUGUUGUAGACUUGAUGGCCCAGGGAACACGCAAGGCUUCUUCGGUGAUGCCUUUAAUGGAUCAACGGUAUAGUAAGGAGUGAGGUAAGACAAGCCUUUGAGUAUAGUGUCCUAACAGGACUCCCAGCGAUACUGUUGGAGCAAUAGAAGAUAUUUCAAAAAGACUUUGCUUCUUGUAACAUUUGUAAUGCAGGCACCUGGCAAAAUACUGGAUACAAAUUCACUUGAGGUUCUUUAAUGAGCUUGUGACAACUCUGCACACAAGUGACUGGCUAAGUGCACGGGGAUGUCUAGCUGGGUCUCCGUUCCCUUCCAGCCUUCCUCAUCCCCACAUGCAACAUGCUGAUAACCUUGGUUUCUACUCCAACGAUCCUGCCAGCAUUGCAGACUUCACAUCAGUAUAAAUUCUCCUCUGACACGCACAGGGAAGCUAAAUGAGUUGAACAGGUGAUGAAGGAGCAACAGCUUUUUGUAAACUCAGACUGAAAAAGUUAGAGAAAACAACACUGGCAAACAACUUGUUUGUUCACCAGGAUGUGGCUGUUUCUCCUUCUGCACAUCAGCUGCCUUUGCCCAACAUCAGCCUCACCCUUUUCUUCAUUGUCCACAGAUUUAAUCUGGGCUUUUUAUUGACAGCAGCCGUGUCUGGGCAUGAGAAACUUUUUUCUUUCACAUUUAAUGUGGCAAUAGGUUGUCCCCAUUUGUUUCGGGCCAGGAUCAGCAGCUACUGCGGUUUAGGAGCAAUUGGAGUCAGUGGGGCUGGCAGCCUUGUACUUUUACACCAUCCUAGAACUUCUAAUUUUUUAGGAUUUUUUUUUUUUGAGAAGGGUAGAGUAAUAGUUUGUUGAAAAGCUGUUCCUUACAUCCCCUACAAACUUAAUUAUACUCUUCUGGGUCCAAGUCAUUGUUUCACUUGCAUUCUUCUUAUUUUUACCCCAGCUUGCAUUACAGUGUAGGGGUUUGAAUUAAGGUUCACAUAUCCCCUCCCUGACUGCACUUGCUACCGCUGACACUGCUUUUAGUUGCUGGUGUAGCUGUGCAAUCUCCACCUGAUAGCUAUCAUGCUCAGCUUUAACGUGUUCCUUUUAUGGGUUGCUUCAACACUACUUGAACGGCGGUUUGGGUUUUCAGGCACUUGCUUUUUCAGCAUCGGUCAUGUCUUACUGCCCUUUUUACCUCUGUUUUUAAGUGCAAAGGUUUAGUUUUAAUGGCAGUAAAACUGAAAGCAUCUUUCAUGGAGUUGACCUGUAAGGCGGUGUCUUUCACUAGCAAGGAAAAUUCUACUGUUGGCAAUUGGCCAGUUGUUGCUGUGUGUUGGCUAAUUGUUCUUGUGAAUCAUCCAGUUGUUGCUGAGAGUUUUGGAUAAUUUAAAAGCAGGUCCAAAUAACUUUGAUUUGUCUGGUGCGGCCACUAGAAAACCUUGCAGUGGUCCACAAUAUUAUUUUUGCUAGUGGGUUUGGCUUGAUUUAGUUCAUUUCUCAGUCCCCUGCAUCCAUUUGUUCCAUUGGUCACACAGCUGACAAAAUGGAUCUGGCAUGUCAAAAGUUCCUUGUUACAAAACUGUGGUAGGGCUUAAUCCCCCACCUACACACAAUUUUAAAUUCCUAGGCAUAUGACUAAUGCAGAAGCUGCUUGACAAAACUUGCAGUUGUUUAAUUUAAUCUUUUUCCAAGGGACCUGCCCAACUUCUGCUUUGCAUGUUACUUCUGGUUUUCACAGUGUCCACUUCUGUUUUGCAGUGACUACAUGGUCUCCUACCUGCCAACAUUUCUAACUUAUAACUACCCAGUUCCUCAAACUGUCCUGCUUCCUCAUUAACUUCUGCAGCUGCAUCCUGAAUCAGCCCUUCUACAGGACAGACCCCUCUUCAAGCCCUCCCCAUCCUGGAUCCAGCCAACUGCUCCCAGGAAAAGGCAGCCAAAACCCCACAUACUUUUCCCUGCCCUUUAGUCCCCUUGAGGUCUCCCCCGAUCAUUAUAAUUAGUGAUCCAGAUGUGCUGAGAAGCUCUGCAGCCCUACAUGCCAAUCAGACAUAUACUGGGGACAGGGCGUGUCCUGAAGAGAUGCUGCCCUGGACAGAAGGAGUGGGGAGGGAACCUGAGGUGCAGGAAGGGGAUGGACUUACUCAAGGUCACCUGGCAGGUCAGUGCAGGGCAAGGAAAAAGACCCAGGUUAGCCAGCCUAGUGCACAGGCCGAUGAGCACAGGCCCUGGGCUCCCCUGUCUGCUCUGUGCUCCCACACUUCAUCCAUCCCGUCCUGGAUCUCAAGCCACAAUUCAAGUCCCAGGUCCCUGCCCUGCUCCCCAUUCCCUCUCCUCACAGGGUGGGAUGGAUGGACAGCUGAUCCAGAAGCUCACUUUUGGGGAGUUGGGGGGAGGGUGAAAAAAUACAUGCAGAUGUGUGACUACACCAGCAGUGACAACCAGAAGAUGCCACCCCCUGAGCCCAGGUGUCACAGUUGCCCUGGGCUCCUGUCUGUUGUUACACCUCUGGGGAUGGAGUGAGCAGAUGCUGCCUCAGCACCACUCCUGCCCUCUCUGCCACUGCAGCUGCCUUCUGCACCCCCAGAUCCAAAGCAGAGCUGGAGAUGAGUGCAACUGGAGGUGGACACUGGGCAUCCAAGAGCAGCCUCACAGGGGUUGUUGUACCUGCCCUGGCUGGGAACAGCUGUUUGGGAGGGUCUCAGGGCAGGGAUGCUGGGAGGCACAAAGCCUGAGCAAGAGGCUGACAACUGGGGCACGGGGAUGAAUCCUGUUCCUAAUAAAGAUAAAGCUGUUCACCUCCCCAGCAGUUUCUGCUGAACGCUGACUCGAGGACAGAGUCCCAGGGGCACGGAGCUCUGAGUAAGUACCCCGUCCCAGGAACCCAGUGGCCAAGGGUAAACACUAUAGUGGAUGGGCAGCACUAGGACCCUCCUGCCACCCCUCCUCAUCUCUGCAGCAGCAGCACAGGGAGGAUAACCACUUUUCUGGCAUGGGGUAGUACCCGCAGAGGUAAUGCAUAGUUACCCUCCCACAUUCAGUUCCCCUGGGAAGAUCUUUGCUUUAUGCCCACUUUAUGGAAAUGGGAGACUCCUCCCUAGCUUGGUCCUGCGGCAGUAUUGCUGAGGGCAAAUGAAACUUGGGGACAUCCAAACUUCAAGCCUCUGGCCUUGGGCCUGCAUGUAGGAUACCUACCAAAUGCUUUGGAAACAUCUGGAGCCCCAGGUGGGGUGGAGGAUGUUUGCCAGUACAGGCAACCCCUGCUUCGUGCUCUUAAUUGGCUUUGGAAAAACUGAGCGCUAAGCGAAACAGCAUUAAGUGAAACCCAUUUCUCCAUAGGAUUUAAUGUAAAAACAGAAUUGGUUCUACACAACCUGCCAGCCCAGACCCCAUGCUCCUGCCAGCCCUGGCCCUGGGCCCCAGCCGGGACUCCACAGUCAUGCCACCAGUUGCCCUCCCCACCCCUGCCACCGCUCCUCCCUGCUGGCUCCAGCACCAUGUGCAGGACCAGACCCCACUUUCUUGCUGCCUGACCCUGGGCCCCUGCUUCACUCGCUGCUGCCACCGCUGCUGCUUCUCCCAGCCCCAUGUUUAGCAUUAUAAUGAAAUACUCUGAGCGCUCAGUGAAACUACAUAUUUUAAAUGACUGUCACAGUCAAACCGCAGUAAGCGAAACCAGGCUAAUCUCCAUGCAGCUGCUUUUGGUUAACAGCCUGGGGUUUUUUUACAACCCUUGUUAUGACUCAUGCGCUACACAUUCAGUUUUGUUUCUUUUGCCCAGCUUCUACAGCUUCUUAGCCCCAGGUCUGGGGGCACUUGCCACGCAAGGACACUGCCUAAACCAUGUUGGUCCCUACAGCUGUGACCUGCCCUUGCUUGUGAACACUCACUCCUACACAGAGGAUAGAGACACUCAGAAGCCACGUUCACAUGCAUACAUGCACACGUGUGCGUCCAACCCGGUCUCAUGUUCAAGCUCCCUGCCUUGGCUUCUAUAGUCCCUCCACUGCCCAGCCCUUAUCUUGAGUGCCAGCCAGGCCUGCCCUCAUGCCGGCUCCUGCCCUGCACUGCAAUAGAGACACCAACCUGGACCCCAUCUCAGUGCCCUUCUAACACACAGCCUUGCCUCUUAUCCAGCAUUGCCAGCCUCACUGUGUCAAAAGUCAUGAGACAAACUGUUAAAAAUCAAGAGAUUUCGAAUGUAAAUCAUGAGAUGCUAUUUUUGAAGUGUGUGUGUGUGUACGUGAAUGUGCGUGCACAUGUGUGUGUGUGCAAGUGCGUGUGCAUGCACGGGGGCUUAUUUGUGAAGGCGUGGGGGGCUGUAGGUGUGUGUGGGGAUGAGGCUGGAACCUGGGGGAGAGUUCCCCAUAUACCCUGGCAGGAUGCGGGGCACUGUGGUUCAGGAGUGAGGGGCAGCAGCAGGGCUGGAGGGGCUGUGGCUUGGGAGUGAGGGGCAGACACACACACACACACACACACACACACACACACACACAUGCAGACGGGCUGGGUGGUUCAUGAGACAGAAAAGGCGGCUCAUCCAGUAGCAUGGGGGAGGCGUGGCUCCCUGCAGCUGUGUGCUCCCCCAAGAGAGGCAUGGGGGACACAUUCCCCCCAGAUUUGUGCACGGGGCAGAGGUGGGAUGAGGCUCUGUGCCCUACUGCCCUUGCCCUGGGAGCCAUGCGACACUGCCAGGCAGGCAGACAGGGGACACAUGACGUUGCCGGCACAUGGCCUUCGGGGGUCAAAGGCAGCAGAGCACAGAGCUCAAGCCCACAGCCCACCUUUGCCCUGUGCACAAAUCCAAAACAAAAACUUCUGAGGUAAGUAGCCUAGAAUUAUUUUGGAGGGGGGCGGCUUUCUACGGUAACAGGGUGGGCUGUGUUAAAUCUUUUGGCUCUUUGCAGGUAUGUGAUGUCUUGAUGGAGAACUUUCAAAACGUACGCGUUGGUGGACCUAUGAGAAUAAAGAUCUCGUGUGCGAACUGGCUUUGUUCAUGUCUAAAAGAGAGGGGUUCAGGACAUGACUGAAUAACCCUGUAUGUGCUGCUUUUCACUAAUAAAUCUUGUUUUGCCACUAUUUAAA